RNAcentral lists this ribosomal RNA (732 nucleotides) under Salmonella enterica. Its description in RNAcentral is "bacterial LSU rRNA". It matches the Rfam family "Bacterial large subunit ribosomal RNA", at positions 2211 to 2925 of the family's 2925-position model. The record is from RNAcentral. RNAcentral also lists the same sequence under 8 other names. Lineage: Bacteria; Pseudomonadati; Pseudomonadota; Gammaproteobacteria; Enterobacterales; Enterobacteriaceae.
UGUUUGAUGUUCUAACGUGGACCCGUGAUCCGGGUUGCGGACAGUGUCUGGUGGGUAGUUUGACUGGGGCGGUCUCCUCCUAAAGAGUAACGGAGGAGCACGAAGGUUGGCUAAUCCUGGUCGGACAUCAGGAGGUUAGUGCAAUGGCAUAAGCCAGCUUGACUGCGAGCGUGACGGCGCGAGCAGGUGCGAAAGCAGGUCAUAGUGAUCCGGUGGUUCUGAAUGGAAGGGCCAUCGCUCAACGGAUAAAAGGUACUCCGGGGAUAACAGGCUGAUACCGCCCAAGAGUUCAUAUCGACGGCGGUGUUUGGCACCUCGAUGUCGGCUCAUCACAUCCUGGGGCUGAAGUAGGUCCCAAGGGUAUGGCUGUUCGCCAUUUAAAGUGGUACGCGAGCUGGGUUUAGAACGUCGUGAGACAGUUCGGUCCCUAUCUGCCGUGGGCGCUGGAGAACUGAGGGGGGCUGCUCCUAGUACGAGAGGACCGGAGUGGACGCAUCACUGGUGUUCGGGUUGUCAUGCCAAUGGCACUGCCCGGUAGCUAAAUGCGGAAGAGAUAAGUGCUGAAAGCAUCUAAGCACGAAACUUGCCCCGAGAUGAGUUCUCCCUGAGACUUAGAGUCUCCUGAAGGAACGUUGAAGACGACGACGUUGAUAGGCCGGGUGUGUAAGCGCAGCGAUGCGUUGAGCUAACCGGUACUAAUGAACCGUGAGGCUUAACCUUACAACGCCGAAG